RNAcentral lists this transfer RNA (87 nucleotides) under Gammaproteobacteria bacterium. Its description in RNAcentral is "tRNA-Leu". It matches the Rfam family "tRNA". Rfam says of the family: Transfer RNA (tRNA) molecules are approximately 80 nucleotides in length. RNAcentral also lists the same sequence under 4 other names. The record is from RNAcentral. Lineage: Bacteria; Pseudomonadati; Pseudomonadota; Gammaproteobacteria.
GCCGAGGUGGUGAAAUUGGUAGACACGCUAGCUUCAGGUGCUAGUGAGCUUUGGCUCGUGGAGGUUCAAGUCCUCUCCUCGGCACCA